Molecule: ribosomal RNA, 497 nt
Filed under: uncultured bacterium
Lineage: Bacteria
Description: partial 16S ribosomal RNA
Rfam family: Bacterial small subunit ribosomal RNA
Source: RNAcentral
GAUGAACGCUGGCGGCGUGCCUAAUACAUGCAAGUCGAGCGAACAGACGAGGAGCUUGCUCCUCUGACGUUAGCGGCGGACGGGUGAGUAACACGUGGAUAACCUACCUAUAAGACUGGGAUAACUUCGGGAAACCGGAGCUAAUACCGGAUAACAUGUUGAACCGCAUGGUUCAACAGUGAAAGACGGUUUUGCUGUCACUUAUAGAUGGAUCCGCGCCGCAUUAGCUAGUUGGUAAGGUAACGGCUUACCAAGGCAACGAUGCGUAGCCGACCUGAGAGGGUGAUAGGACACACUGGAACUGAGACACGGUCCAGACUCCUACGGGAGGCAGCAGUAGGGAAUCUUCCGCAAUGGGCGAAAGCCUGACGGAGCAACGCCGCGUGAGUGAAGAAGGUCUUCGGAUCGUAAAACUCUGUUAUUAGGGAAGAACAAAUGUGUAAGUAACUAUGCACGUCUUGACGGUACCUAAUCAGAAAGCCACGGCUAACUACGUG